This 486-nucleotide ribosomal RNA is filed under the name uncultured bacterium. RNAcentral describes it as "partial 16S ribosomal RNA". It matches the Rfam family "Bacterial small subunit ribosomal RNA", at positions 29 to 507 of the family's 1533-position model. The record is from RNAcentral.
AUUGAACGCUGGCGGCAUGCCUUACACAUGCAAGUCGAACGGCAGCACGGGUGCUUGCCCCUGGUGGCGAGUGGCGCACGGGUGAGUAAUACAUCGGAACAUGUCCUGUAGUGGGGGAUAGCCCGGCGAAAGCCGGAUUAAUACCGCAUACGAUCUACUGAUGACACCGGGGGCCCUUCGGGCCUCGCGCUUUAGGGUUGGCCGAUGGCUGAUUAGCUAGUUGGUGGGGUAAAGGCCUACCAAGGCGACGAUCAGUAGCUGGUCUGAGAGGACGACCAGCCACACUGGGACUGAGACACGGCCCAGACUCCUACGGGAGGCAGCAGUGGGGAAUUUUGGACAAUGGGCGAAAGCCUGAUCCAGCAAUGCCGCGUGUGUGAAGAAGGCCUUCGGGUUGUAAAGCACUGUUGUCAGGAAAGAAAACCUGGGCCCGAAUACGGGCGGGGGAUGACGGUACCGGAAGAAUAAGCAACGGCUAACUACGUG